This 199-nucleotide unclassified non-coding RNA is filed under the name uncultured fungus. RNAcentral's name for it is "sequence contains ITS1". The record is from RNAcentral. Lineage: Eukaryota; Fungi.
UUGACUUAUUUUAUAAGUUACUCAGAGAUGCCAAAUGAUACGAGAGUUUAGUGUACCUCUGGCCGGCUGCCUACCCCGAAGGGAGGGCGCGGCAUCCCCUAGGGGAGCCACCCGCCGAAGCAACGGUAACGGUAAGGUUAACAAUGGUUGGGAGUUUUGCAACUCUGUAAUGAUCCCUCCGCUGGUUCACCAACGGAGA